Molecule: long non-coding RNA, 588 nt
Filed under: Solanum tuberosum (potato)
Lineage: Eukaryota; Viridiplantae; Streptophyta; Magnoliopsida; Solanales; Solanaceae
Description: long non-coding RNA (STUB_LNC008498)
Source: RNAcentral
AUCACCUUGCAACCAUCUGACCCUUCGAGUGCUUUCUGUGCCUCUGGAUCAGAUUCUUCCCUUUUUUAACAAAUUACAAAUGUGUAAAUGAAUCAAUUUUUAUACUAUAUGGUUUAACACUAAUAAAGAGUGCUAAAGUCUUUACCGGCAUCAGUUAAGUGUCAUUAAAUCCAGUAUCGCUAAAGACUUUAGGGACAUACACAGAGUGAUAAUUGCCGCUAAAAAUACAUAUUGAGUGGCAAUUAAGCUAUUGUUGUUAAUUAAUUACCGCUAAAAAUCAUUUUUGAUGUGUAAAUUGGCAUACAUAAUAACAUGUAAUGACUAUUAGUAUCAUGCUUGAUAUGAUAACCUGGAAAAUAGAGUGCGAACUGACAUAUAAUAUGUGUGUGAUCAAUGUAUAAUACGUGUAUAUUCACUAUAUAAUUGUUUGAGUAUAAUGAAAUUUUAGAGUACAUACAGGCGGGUACAAGUGAUGCCGCUGGAACAUUGGCAAAAGGGGUUGCCAGCCUUGGAACUCUCUGUUUUAGUAACAGAGCAAGACCAUCCUUCUGCACACUUGCACUCUACUUUCCCAUCUUCCACUCUUUC